CGACUGAUCGUGUCAAACUACAUGAUACGAAAAAGUUGAAGCUGAUGUCUACCACGUUCGCUGGUUUGCAGGAAGAAUUUUGGUUUUCUUAAUAUUAAUAUUUCGGAUGAUAUCAAUUUGCGACUCGAGAUAGUAAUCUUGCAUUAUUUGAUCAUUUAUUGAGCAGUUUAUUAGAAUACGGUGUGAGAAGGUGUUUCGAGCAGGUUUCUUACAACCUCAAAGUUAUUUAGUUGACCUUAGAUAUUGAUUAGGCGGUGGUUUGGUCAGGGCUUUCUUCCCCCUGUUGCACUUUACGAAGAAAUCGUUAGUUUAUGAAUUUAUCGUACCGUAUCAGUUAUUAAUUGAACUAAACUACCAUCCAGGGUUGAAUUCGCCAUAAGUAGUUUACCGGUGGAGAGGAAACUAGCAGUUUAAGCAGGUCACCGAAACUGUAAGAAAACCUAGUUGAAAUGGUAAACAGUUUAAAUGCUCCUUAUUCUCGAUUGUAGCUUAAUAGCAACAUCAUCAACAAAUAUAUCGUCGUUCGCUAAAGAGUCGCUGACUUAGU
Molecule: long non-coding RNA, 547 nt
Organism: Culex pipiens pallens (northern house mosquito)
Lineage: Eukaryota; Metazoa; Arthropoda; Insecta; Diptera; Culicidae
Exons: 3
Source: RefSeq, a predicted model, not a curated record